RNAcentral lists this long non-coding RNA (318 nucleotides) under Elaeis guineensis (African oil palm). RNAcentral describes it as "long non-coding RNA (EGUI_LNC074408)". Lineage: Eukaryota; Viridiplantae; Streptophyta; Magnoliopsida; Arecales; Arecaceae. The record is from RNAcentral.
CUAAACCAAUGAGACUCUUGACCCCGAUACCCAAAAUGUGUGAAAUUCAUGAUCAGAGAAUCCUGAUUCUCGAUCACAGAAUUUCAGACAUGAAGAACUCUUCACCAGCUAUCAGAUCAGAUAGGAACCUCUAAUGUGUGUGACCCCACAGGUUCGAACCUAAGUCAGUAGCACAGGAACCAAUUCCUGUACUAAUCGAAGUGACCAUCUAGCAAUGGUACUCGAUGAUCGGAUAGGUCGAAUGGUCGCAAUCGCAACACUCAGAACCUACAUGAAUAUGGUUACUGUAUAAUUCAUCCUUUUGACCUCUGUGUUUAG